AGUCACUGCUAUUGGGGUUCGGCUAAGCCAUGCGAGCGGAGGGCGCGGUCGCAAGAUCGUGGCCCCGCACACGGCUCAGUAACACGUAGUCAACCUACCCUUGGGACGGGGACAACGCCGGGAAACUGGCGAUAAUCCCCGAUAGGUGAGGGAUGCUGGGAUGCUUCUUCGCUCAAAGCUCCGGCGCCCGAGGAUGGGACUGCGGCCUAUCAGGCUGUUGGUGGUGUGACGGACCACCAAACCUACGACGGGUACGGGCGAUGGGAGUCGGAGCCUGGAGAUGGGGACUGAGACAAGGCCCCAGGCCCUACGGGGCGCAGCAGGCGCGAAAACUCCGCAAUGCGCGCAAGCGUGACGGGGGAACCCCAAGUGCCGUUGGCUUUUGAUCGACGGCUUUUCGGAAGUCCAAUAAGCUUCCGGAAUAAGGGCUGGGUAAGACUGGUGCCAGCCGCCGCGGUAACACCAGCAGCCCAAGUGGUGGCCGCGAUAUUGGGCCUAAAGCGCUCGUAGCCGGAUCAGCAAGUCCUUUGUGAAAUCGGACCGCCCAACGGUUCGGCGUGCAAAGGAUACUGUUGGUCUUGAGACCGGGAGAGGUCGGAGGUACUCUUGGGGUAGCGGUGAAAUGCUGUAAUCCUGGGGGGACCACCAGUGGCGAAGGCGUCCGACCAGAACGGAUCUGACGGUGAGGGCCGAAGGCUAGGGGAGCGAACGGGAUUAGAUACCCCGGUAGUCCUAGCUGUAAAGCAUGCGGGCCAGGUGUCUAGCGCUCCUUGAGGGCGCUAUGUGCCGGAGGGAAGCCGUUAAGCCCGCCGCCUGGGAAGUACGGCCGCAAGGCUGAAACUUAAAGAAAUUGGCGGGGGAGCACCACAAGGGGUGGAACCUGCGGUUCA
Molecule: ribosomal RNA, 890 nt
Filed under: uncultured euryarchaeote
Lineage: Archaea; Methanobacteriati; Methanobacteriota
Description: bacterial SSU rRNA
Rfam family: Archaeal small subunit ribosomal RNA
Source: RNAcentral